GGAAAAGGCCGAGUAAGAACUCGAAGUCCAAUUUUCACCAUUUGAAGAUCUCGGCUCCCAGAUGUACUCUCCACAAGAUGAGGUCGUGCACGGACAUCAUAAACUAUAGGUCUUUCAAUCCAUGGAAUCAUGAUAUGUGUUCCUUCAGGAUAAACCUUAUCCUUGAUGCCCUGGAUGCGGUUGAAGACGAUGGCGCGAUGACCGCCUUCGACGUUGAAGAGGCUGUGCGUGGCCGCGUAAACCACGCCGGUGCCGAGGAGGGCGAGUGUGAUGGCUCUCCCGGUGCCUGGGAGCUUCGGGAUCUUGACAUUUCUGACACUCAUCUCCGCCGCCGGCGAUCGAGAUUUGGGAGUGAGGGAGUGGCUUGCUUGCUUGC
RNAcentral lists this unclassified non-coding RNA (376 nucleotides) under Hevea brasiliensis (rubber tree). Lineage: Eukaryota; Viridiplantae; Streptophyta; Magnoliopsida; Malpighiales; Euphorbiaceae. The record is from RNAcentral.